AGCAUGGUGACAUGGUAUGAGUGUUGGACUAGGACUCCGGGAGACCAGGGUUCAAAUCCCUUCUGAGCUA
Non-coding RNA from Phrynosoma platyrhinos (Desert horned lizard), 70 nucleotides. The record is from the annotation of a GenBank genome assembly. NCBI's taxonomy places the organism in Eukaryota, Metazoa, Chordata, Lepidosauria, Squamata, Phrynosomatidae.